Molecule: ribosomal RNA, 755 nt
Filed under: uncultured bacterium
Lineage: Bacteria
Description: bacterial SSU rRNA
Rfam family: Bacterial small subunit ribosomal RNA
Source: RNAcentral
UUCCGUACACUCAGGGAUAGCCUUUCGAAAGAAAGAUUAAUACCUGAUGGUAUCUUAAGCACACAUGUAAUUAAGAUUAAAGAUUUAUCGGUGUACGAUGGGGAUGCGUUCCAUUAGGUAGUAGGCGGGGUAACGGCCCACCUAGCCUACGAUGGAUAGGGGUUCUGAGAGGAAGGUCCCCCACAUUGGAACUGAGACACGGUCCAAACUCCUACGGGAGGCAGCAGUGAGGAAUAUUGGUCAAUGGACGAGAGUCUGAACCAGCCAAGUAGCGUGAAGGAUGAAGGUCCUACGGAUUGUAAACUUCUUUUAUAAGGGAAUAAACCCUCCCACGUGUGGGAGCUUGUAUGUACCUUAUGAAUAAGCAUCGGCUAACUCCGUGCCAGCAGCCGCGGUAAUACGGAGGAUGCGAGCGUUAUCCGGAUUUAUUGGGUUUAAAGGGAGCGCAGACGGGUCGUUAAGUCAGCUGUGAAAGUUUGGGGCUCAACCUUAAAAUUGCAGUUGAUACUGGCGUCCUUGAGUGCGGUUGAGGUGUGCGGAAUUCGUGGUGUAGCGGUGAAAUGCUUAGAUAUCACGAAGAACUCCGAUUGCGAAGGCAGCACACUAAGCCGUAACUGACGUUCAUGCUCGAAAGUGUGGGUAUCAAACAGGAUUAGAUACCCUGGUAGUCCACACGGUAAACGAUGGAUACUCGCUGUUGGCGAUAUACGGUCAGCGGCUUAGCGAAAGCGUUAAGUAUCCCACCUGGGGAGUAC